UCGUACCUGUUCAACUGAUAACUAGGGAUGGGAAUCGAGAACCGGUUCUUCUUCAGAACCAGAGCCCAGUGAAUCGAUUCCUUGGAACUGUUAGCGUGCCUGCUUAACGAUUCUGCUUAUCAGUUCCGCUCAUUGCAAAUGCGUCAUGACGUCACACACACGCUGCGUUGUUUUGGUUCAGAACGCAGCAAACAUGGCGUCGAGGCAGAACCGCUCUAAAGUUUGGUUAUUUUUCACGCGAAAAGACGACAACACGGUCACUUGCAACACUUGUAAAGUUUCCAUUUCGUCAAAGGGGGAACUACCUCCAAUAUGCAGAAACAUUUGGCGACACAGCAUCAAUUCAUUUGCAGGACUGUCGCAUGUUUGAUACCCUACUACCUAGCGACACAAGUGUGUUAAGACGCAGCGGAGCUAACGGGACGCCAUCUGUUAUCAAUGCCGAAGUUGUAUCUUAUGCCUCAAACCUUCCUCUCAUGAUCAACAAACUAAAAUCACCUCACCCUUCAUAUAGCACCUACCUGCAACUCUGCAGUGCUGGCUCUCCCUGCAUUACCCUCACCACUGUUAGUGUCCAGCUGAACUUCAUCUGACCUCUAAUAUGAAAGCAGUGGAGAUGAAUAAGGUAUAGAAAAAUACUGAUGGGAAUGUCAAGAACAAGCGAACAACACACAGACUAACACCUUUCUAGAUGUGGGAGAUGUGUAACAUUACUCGUUUUCAAGUUACACAGGUUAGGAUGAUGGAAAAAUCAUGUUCUUUUACGAUCAUCUUAAAUACCAGGCAUGAAAACGGGUCAGGGGUGCAAAAGGUAAGAAGGAUAUUACCCCUCUAGGGGGGGUCCGGGGGCCUUGCUCCCCCGGAAGAAAAUGUUGAAUAUUCCAUAUUUUAAAGCAUCAAUCUGAUGCAUUUUGAGAUGCAUCUUUUGCCAACCUGGGGAGAGCUGGAGAAACUUAACUUCAGCCAUGAGUCAAAAAUAUUAUGGCCUCCUUACUAAGUAUUAUGCAACUUCGGGAUAAGGAUUGGCUCUAAGGGCUGGGUCGGUCGGGCUGGGGUGCGAAGCGGGGCUGGGCUCGAGCCGCGGCUGGGGGAGCAGUCGCCCCGUCGCCCUCCUCUCUCCGCCGCUGGAAGUGCGGUGCGCGGCCCAUCUCGCGGGGCCCUCGUCCGCGGCGCCUCGUGUGUCGUUGGGCGGGGGUUUUCGCGGGGUGGUGUCCGACGCCGUGUGGAAGGCGGGCCGGUGGAGGGGAUCGGGUACGGCGGUCGGCGGCGACUCUGGACGCGCAACGGGCCCUUCUCGCGGAUCUCCCCAGCUACGGCGCCUGUUGGGCCCCGUUCGCGCGGGGUCCUGGCAGGUCGCCUCGGCUGGCGCCUAGCAGCUGACUUAGAACUGGUCCGGACCAGGGGAAUCCGACUGUCUU
This is a long non-coding RNA of Dicentrarchus labrax (European seabass), 1418 nucleotides long. RefSeq lists it as uncharacterized. NCBI's taxonomy places the organism in Eukaryota, Metazoa, Chordata, Actinopteri, Moronidae. The transcript is spliced from 2 exons. The record is from RefSeq and is a predicted model, not a curated record.